Molecule: long non-coding RNA, 588 nt
Organism: Oncorhynchus tshawytscha (Chinook salmon)
Lineage: Eukaryota; Metazoa; Chordata; Actinopteri; Salmoniformes; Salmonidae
Source: Ensembl
UUAGAGUGUAGGGACGGCAGGUAGCCUAGUGGUUAGAGUGUAGGGACGGCAGGUAGCCUAGUGGUUAGAGUGUAGGGACGGCAGGUAGCCUAGUGGUUAGAGUGUAGGGACGGCAGGUAGACUAGUGGUUAGAGUGUAGGGACGGCAGGUAGCCUAGUGGUUAGAGUGUAGGGACGGCAGGUAGCCUAGUGGUUAGAGUGUAGGGACGGCAGGUAGACUAGUGGUUAGAGUGUAGGGACGGCAGGUAGACUAGUGGUUAGAGUGUAGGGACGGCAGGUAGCCUAGUGGUUAGAGUGUAGGGACGGCAGGUAGCCUAAUGGUUAGAGUGUAGGGACGGCAGGUAGCCUAGUGGUUAGAGUGUAGGGACGGCAGGUAACCUAGUGGUUAGAGUGUAGGGACGGCAGGUAGCCUAGUGGUUAGAGUGUAGGGGCGGCAGGUAGCCUAGUGGUUAGAGUGUAGGGACGGCAGGUAGCCUAGUGGUUAGAGUGUAGGGACGGCAGGUAGCCUAGUGGUUAGAGUGUAGGGACGGCAGGCAGUCUAGUGGUUAGAGUGUAGGGACGGCAGGUAGCCUAGUGGUUAGAGUGUAGG